RNAcentral lists this ribosomal RNA (254 nucleotides) under uncultured bacterium. RNAcentral's name for it is "partial 16S ribosomal RNA". It matches the Rfam family "Bacterial small subunit ribosomal RNA", at positions 524 to 776 of the family's 1533-position model. The record is from RNAcentral.
UACGGGGGGAGCAAGCGUUGUUCGGAUUUACUGGGUGUAAAGGGCGCGUAGGCGGUCAGCACAAGUCAGUUGUGAAAUCUCCGGGCUUAACUCGGAAAGGUCAACUGAUACUGUGCGACUAGAGUGCAGAAGGGGCAACUGGAAUUCUCGGUGUAGCGGUGAAAUGCGUAGAUAUCGAGAGGAACACCUGCGGCGAAGGCGGGUUGCUGGGCUGACACUGACGCUGAUGCGCGAAAGCCAGGGGAGCAAACGGG